This is a long non-coding RNA of Biomphalaria glabrata, 3143 nucleotides long. RefSeq lists it as uncharacterized. The record is from RefSeq and is a predicted model, not a curated record. NCBI's taxonomy places the organism in Eukaryota, Metazoa, Mollusca, Gastropoda, Planorbidae. The transcript is spliced from 3 exons.
AUUAGCUUUGUGGAGGUAUCAGAAUGCUCUAUAAAAAGAUACUAGAUUCAAGAAACACAAGGAAGGGAAAAGAGAAAUCUAUUGUACAUAAGUAAGAAGUAAUGGGAUGCAGUAUGCACAGUGGAUAUUAAUAAAAAAAAAAAGUAAAGUUUACCUUUCAGACCUUGCGAUCUAUGGAGCUAAUGAUGUCAAGGUUAUGUUUCUAUGGCUAGUGGUUAAUGAGCAGGUCGUCAUGUGUCCAGCACAAUGACUAACCACCUUAAUUUUCCCCACCUAAAAUCAGUUACCCAUUAGAGUUGGGUUACUGAGGGGCACCCUAAAAAUUCAAAAUCCCAAUCUUCAUUGAGGCUGGAGGUUCAAACCCAGGACCCCAUUGUUUUCCUAUGAGGUACACAAAUCCUUUAGCCGACAAAAAAUCAAAAUAUUGAUAUAGAAAUGAAAUGAAAAAUGACUGAGCUUUUGGCCCAUGACUUUGAAAUGCUAAUAUCUAUGUAUACUUCUUUAUGUUGGCAGAGGAUCAACAUGAUUUGUUCAUUGAAAGACACUUGAAGGUGUAAGUUGUAAAAGGUUUUGAAAGACUUGCCAAAGCAAGGCAUUCUUGACAGGAAUAAACAUUGGGAGCAGCUCUAGCUGACUCAGCUCAGAGGAUGACAUCACAGUUAAUUGACAUCUUUCUGUUAACAAUGCAUGGAUUAUCUUAUCUUCUUCAUUCUAGGGGAAUUAUGCAUUGAGUGAAGACAUCUUGCUGUAGAAGAGAAGAACAAUUCAGAUAGUUCACAUGAUUUACAAUAUGGCUUUGAUUGUCUUAUGUUAAUGGCUGGUAAAGAACUGAAACAUGUAGGCUGGAGAUCACUUGAUAGAAAUCAAGAAAUCUCUGAUCUACAUUGUAUGAGAAAAUCAUGAAGUGGUUGUUGUCAUUGAUCCAGAAACUAAGUUGCAAUCUGUCUUGAUAAAUAUAUCAUACAGAUUUAAUGGUGGCCUACUCAACCCGAGGCGGCUUAAAGCAAAAACAAAAACAAAUGCAGCAGUAAUCAGAGACUUGCUAUUUGCUGACGACUGUGCCCUAAAUGCCUGCUCUGAAAACGAUCUGCAGAGCAUCGUCAGUGACUUCUCAAGAGCAUGCUCAGACUUUGGCCUUACCAUCAAUACGAACAAGACUGAAGUCUUAUAUUUACCUGCUCCUGGGAAAGCCUACAUGGAUCCAAGCAUUACUAUAAAUGGACAGGAUAUAAACGCAGUGGACAAAUUCACAUAUCUUGGCAGCACACUCUCCAGAAAUGGAAAAAUCGAUAGUGAAAUUGACCUGCGUAUCGCCAAGGCCAGUGCAUCCUACGGCAGAUUGUCUACAAAUGUCUGGAACAGACGUGGUAUCUCCACAAACACCAAGCUAGGGGAAUAUAGAGCCGUCAUCCUCCCUACAUUGCUAUAUGCCUCAGAAACAUGGACAGUGUACAGUAAACAUGCAAAGAAACUAAACCACUUCCACAUGACAUGUCUGAGAAAAAUACUAAAUGUCAAAUGGCAAGACAAAAUACCAGAGUGUGUCUGCAAAGCAUCCACACAAUCCUGAUGCAGUCCCAGCUGCGAUGGGCAGGUCACGUCUACAGAAUGGAAGACCACCGCAUCCCUAAACGACUCCUGUAUGGCCAACUAAGCGAAGGAAAGCGCUCGCAAGGUGGUCAAAGAAAGCGCUUCAGGGACACCCUCAAUGCUUCUCUGAAGGCGUUCAGCAUAGACCCAGGCACCUGGGAGACAGAGGCACAUGACAGAGCAUCAUGGUGUCGCGCUGUGAAAACUGGCGCACAGGUUGCUGGGGAAAAAAGAACAAUGCUGGCAGAAGAAAAACGCCAGAAAAGAAAAGCAAGGCCCACGACACUAGCUCCAGCUGGAAUAACCUGCCCAGUGUGCGGCCGAACAUUCCGGGCUCACAUAGGUCUUACCAGCCACAUGAGGAGGCAUAAAACCCCAGUGCAAAGCCCUCAGCCCCCUGGAUGACAAAGUGGUCAUCAUCGAACCACGAUGGACGAACUAUAAGUUGCAAUCUGUCUUGUGAACGAAUUGUGUGUCCCCUUACCUGUCAAUUCUGUUUAGUGAUGGUCAAGCUCAACUGAUAUUAUUCUAAGCAGCUUUUAUUCUGAGAAUCAUUCAACCACAGAAGCUGUGAGGGAUAUCUGAAAUCCAUUGCUUACUUGUCUAGCAGAAAGAUUUCUAUCCGUUUAGUGAUAAAAGAUUGAGAUUAAUUGUAUACAACUUUUUGUAGUCGCCAAAUAACACACUUUUAUGCUCAAGCAAUACUGUUCAUGAAUGGUUUAGUUUUCUUGAUGCUGAGAGUGUUCAUGAAAGAGGGAUCAAAGGUCAAUUUGGGUGUUUGUUUUUUAAGACAACUUGCUAUGUUUGUUAAUUUAAAUUUACCAGGUACCUAUUAUUCAUUUACUUUGGAUUUUAGAAUAUUUGUCAUUGAAAUUUAAAUAGGUAUAAGUACAGUUAAUUAACCACAGGAUUCCAUUAAGAAAUUUAAAAAGAAAACAUUUCAUUUUUGAGAUUACAUCAUCUUUAUGUGGAAUGUUUUUUGAAUAAAUGGUACCUGUACAGGUGAUUAGACCUAUUAAUAAAUGAUAACUGGAUAUAUUUGUAUUUGAAACCACUGGCUUGUAUUUUACUUAUUACUAAUAACUUAAUUUACUUUUUAAUAUAUGCGUUAUCUUCUAUUUUGAAGUAACAUCUGUAUUAUAUAAGAUAAGAUUAUCAACUGUAGUUUUCUUUUAAGAGUUCUUUAUGAAAAUGUUACCACUGAACACUGCUAUAUUACUAGACUUUUUUCAACUAUGUUUUGUAAAUGAAAUAUUGUGCAAUGGCAUAUUUAUUGUAUUACAUAAUUAAGGUUUUUAUAGCUAUAUAUUAAAAACAUCUCAUAUUUAAUGUACUCUCUGCACUGAACAAUUUUUUUUUAAGUGAUAAAAAUUUUGGUUUAUUCAUAUCAAGUUUGUUUUGUUUGUAUAUAUGUAGAAUAUGUAUAUCAUAGUGAAAGCAUUUAUUUACUUGCAUUUUAGUUUUUAUAAUCAUUUAUAGAAUUCAGUGUAAAUUCAUUGUACAUUGAACCUCGUUGGUAGUGACAAUGUUAUUAAGUUGACAUGAAGUAUUUA